Molecule: ribosomal RNA, 253 nt
Filed under: uncultured bacterium
Lineage: Bacteria
Description: partial 16S ribosomal RNA
Rfam family: Bacterial small subunit ribosomal RNA
Source: RNAcentral
UACGUAGGGGGCAAGCGUUGUCCGGAUUUCUUGGGCGUAAAGAGCGUGUAGGCGGCCAGGUAGGUCCGUUGUGAAAACUCGAGGCUCAACCUCGAGACGCCGAUGGAAACCAUCUGGCUAGAGUCCGGAAGAGGAGAGUGGAAUUCCCGGUGUAGCGGUGAAAUGCGCAGAUAUCGGGAAGAACACCCGUGGCUAAGGCGGCUCUCUAGUACGGUACUGACGCUGAGACGCGAAAGCGUGGGGAGCGAACAGG